This 65-nucleotide transfer RNA is filed under the name Dardanus aspersus. Its description in RNAcentral is "tRNA-Ala". Lineage: Eukaryota; Metazoa; Arthropoda; Malacostraca; Decapoda; Diogenidae. The record is from RNAcentral.
UAGGCUAUAGUUUAAAUUAAAAUAUUUGAUUUGCACUCAUAAGAAAUCUAAGUAGAUUGGCUUAA